GCGAACCGAGUGAAAAGACUA
This 21-nucleotide microRNA is filed under the name Gadus morhua (Atlantic cod). RNAcentral describes it as "gmo-miR-11204a-3p". Lineage: Eukaryota; Metazoa; Chordata; Actinopteri; Gadiformes; Gadidae. The record is from miRBase by way of RNAcentral.